GCUGCUAUCGCUAGUUUGAACAAAAUGGCUGCAGAGGCACCACUAACGAAAGCCCACUGAAUGGUAGGAAUUAUCAUCGACGAUUUUUUAAUGGAUAUCUUGGAAAUACACACUCUCCAAAUACUGGAUUUUGCAAUAAUUUGCUCUCUUGGAUUCCUCUAUUUGCAAGCGAUUCAUAGUCGCGUGCUGUAAAUCAUUCUAUUGUUUUUGCACUUUAAAAAUGUCACCUCAUCAAAGACAAGCCGAGAGAAGAAGCAGGGAACACGAGACCAGAACCAUUUGAUGGAAGAAAAGAAUAAGAGAAAGCAAGAAGAAAAGAAAAAGAAGGAAGCUGCUCAGAAAAAGGUCACUGAACAGAAAACCAAAG
Molecule: long non-coding RNA, 367 nt
Organism: Coregonus clupeaformis (lake whitefish)
Lineage: Eukaryota; Metazoa; Chordata; Actinopteri; Salmoniformes; Salmonidae
Exons: 3
Source: RefSeq, a predicted model, not a curated record